GAAGGGGGCUAGCGUUGCUCGGAAUUACUGGGCGUAAAGGGCGCGUAGGCGGACAGUUUAGUCAGAGGUCAAAGCCCAGGGCUCAACCUUGGAAUCGCCUUUGAUACUGGCUGUCUUGAGUGCGGGAGAGGUGUGUGGAACUCCGAGUGUAGAGGUGAAAUUCGUAGAUAUUCGGAAGAACACCAGUGGCGAAGGCGACACACUGGCCCGUUACUGACGCUGAGGCGCGAAAGCGUGGGGAGCAAACAGGAUUAGAUACCCUGGUAGUCCACGCUGUAAACGAUGAGUGCUAGUUGUCGGCAUGCAUGCAUGUCGGUGACGCAGCUAACGCAUUAAACACUCCGCCUGGGGAGUACGGUCGCAAGAUUA
This 369-nucleotide ribosomal RNA is filed under the name uncultured bacterium. RNAcentral describes it as "bacterial SSU rRNA". It matches the Rfam family "Bacterial small subunit ribosomal RNA", at positions 527 to 896 of the family's 1533-position model. The record is from RNAcentral.